CCCCAUCAUGGGGCUUGAACCCACGCCCACAAGGUUAAGAGCUUUGUGCUUUACCAACCGAGCAGUGGA
This 69-nucleotide transfer RNA is filed under the name Triticum aestivum (bread wheat). RNAcentral describes it as "tRNA_LysCTT". Lineage: Eukaryota; Viridiplantae; Streptophyta; Magnoliopsida; Poales; Poaceae. The record is from RNAcentral.